This is a long non-coding RNA of Hippocampus zosterae (dwarf seahorse), 1514 nucleotides long. RefSeq lists it as uncharacterized. The record is from RefSeq and is a predicted model, not a curated record. The transcript has 3 exons. NCBI's taxonomy places the organism in Eukaryota, Metazoa, Chordata, Actinopteri, Syngnathiformes, Syngnathidae.
CCAGACUAGCUGUGUCCGUGAAGCCCUCCACUGCAGCACAGAGAGGGCCUCACUCCAGUGCUUGAAAUAUCUCGACUGUCCCGUUCCUCUUAUCUUCAGCUAGCAGCAAAACCGGGUUAUCGACUGACGGCUGAUGUUGCGACUCAGCUUCGGCCGCCGGUCAUCUCUCGGGGGGCGUCUUGGGCACUGGAAGACACACGCAGCGCAAAGACGUUGGCUGUCGAGCUGUCGAGGAGACGACGGGGGACAUCAGUCGUUGUCAUUAGCAGAAACGUGACACGGGCAAAAACAGACGGCAGGCAGGCAGCGGCGCAGAUCGGCGAGCAAAGUGAUGCUAACGACAACAACUCAGCACAUCAGAGAAGUGUGUGUGUGUGUGUGUGUGUGUGUGUGUGUGUGUGUGUGGGACGGGGCAUAUCCCCUAAAUUGUUCUGGAACGUGUCUUGAGGCAGGUGGAAUUUCUCAAGAACCGUGAUGUCGUGUUUCCAAAGUAGCGCACAAGCAAGCGAGUGUACGUGCGUAACAAACAGGAUGCUAACAGACAGGGAAGAAGAAGUGCGCUUUGAGGGGAAGAGGAAGCUGUCGUCACAGUCAGAGGAAGUAGGGCCUCCCUGCCCGACGAAUGGGGUGGAGGCAUCGUCGACUGCGGCUUCCUGUUGGACACGCAUCGCAUGUGCGCCUUUAGGACGACCGAGGUCGCGUCACGUGAGCUUCGGUUGAAACACACGCGCACAAAAAAGUCAAGUCAAGAGUAUUUCUCGAGCACUUUCAAACAGCCAUCGCUGCAUACAAAGUGCUGUACAUGGAGCGAUUUAACAUGCACAAUAAACAGUAAGACGAAUCGGUAAUAAAGGCGGUAGAAAGCACCAAGCAGUAAAAUCAAGAACAAAUCUUAAGUCAUGCUGAGUCGAACGCCAAAGAAUACAAGUGAGUUUUGAGGAGGGCUUUAGAUAUUGGUGGCGGACUGGCCUUGAGUGUGACGUGACUCACAAAAGCCUCGUUGAAGAACAAACAAUCACUCCACCCCACCCCCCAUACAAAGGAAAAAAAAAAGCCUUCCUACUCUGGUAAGAUUGUGGUGAAGGUGUGACAUCGGUAAUUACUCAACAUUUCUGUGCGUUGUCUCAACCAAGACGUGACUCAACUGCGGGUCCGGAAUGCUGACACACAAAGAGCGGGCGUAGGCGACUCACUCUCCAUUUCUACAAUGGCUCAUCGACGUCAUCUUCAUCAUCAAAAUUCCCCUCCACUUUUGACUUUUUGUGACUUGUGUGAUGACAGGAGCAAGCCCCGCCCUCCACGCCGCCCUCACACGCGCCUCUUGACAAAACAAGACGCGUUAUUGGCCACAGAGCGAGAGGCCCGGUAGUCCAGUGGUUAGCACGUCGGCUUCACAGUGCAGAGGUACCGGGUUCGAUUCCAGCUCCGGCCUCCCUGUGUGGAGUUUGCAUGUUUUCCCCCGGGCCUGCGUGGGUUUUCUCCGGGUGCUCCGGUUUCCUCCCACAUUCCAAAAA